UACGAAGGGGGCUAGCGUUGCUCGGAAUUACUGGGCGUAAAGGGCGCGUAGGCGGAUAUUUAAGUUGGGGGUGAAAUCCCGGGGCUCAACCUCGGAAUUGCCUUCAAAACUGGAUAUCUUGAGUUCGGGAGAGGUGAGUGGAACUCCGAGUGUAGAGGUGAAAUUCGUAGAUAUUGGGAAGAACACCGGUGGCGAAGGCGGCGACCUGGUCCGAUACUGACGCUGAGGCGCGAAAGCGUGGGGAGCAAACAGG
This 253-nucleotide ribosomal RNA is filed under the name uncultured bacterium. RNAcentral's name for it is "partial 16S ribosomal RNA". It matches the Rfam family "Bacterial small subunit ribosomal RNA", at positions 524 to 776 of the family's 1533-position model. The record is from RNAcentral.